AGCCUCAGCACUUGUAUUCGACUCGUGCAGGGGAUUUCCAGUGGCGAACGGUGAGUAACGCGUUGGUGACCUGCCCCGAAGAGAGGAAUAACAGUUCGAAAGGACUGCUAAUACCUCAUGUGGUCAUGAGACUUAGAACCUCAUGUCUAAAGGAGUAAUCCACUUUGGGAGGGACCUGCGUCCCAUCAGCUAGUUGGUAGGGUAACGGCCUACCAAGGCAACGACGGGUAGGGGACCUGAGAGGGUGGCCCCCCACAAUGGAACUGAAACACGGUCCAUACACC
Molecule: ribosomal RNA, 284 nt
Filed under: uncultured bacterium
Lineage: Bacteria
Description: partial 16S ribosomal RNA
Rfam family: Bacterial small subunit ribosomal RNA (bases 50-284)
Source: RNAcentral